ACGCAAACUAUAUACCGUCACUCUCCCCGAGUACGGGCCCUGAUAAUAUUUAAAAAGCUAGUCAAGAGAAGGGGAGGCAAGUCGUUACAUGGUAAGUGGAC
Molecule: ribosomal RNA, 101 nt
Filed under: Melanotaenia trifasciata (banded rainbowfish)
Lineage: Eukaryota; Metazoa; Chordata; Actinopteri; Atheriniformes; Melanotaeniidae
Description: partial 12S ribosomal RNA
Source: RNAcentral